UCGAUGAAGAACGCAGCGAAAUGCGAUAAGUAAUGUGAAUUGCAGAAUUCAGUGAAUCAUCGAAUCUUUGAACGCACAUUGCACCUUCUGGUAUUCCAGGAGGUAUGUCUGUUCGAGCGUCAUUACAACCCUCAAGCUCUAGCUUGGUAUUGGAUGUCACUAAUCUGGUGCAUCUCAAAAGCAGUGGCGGUGCCAUUCAGCUUCAAGCGCAGUAAAUCUCUCGCUGUGGAGUCUGGGUGCAGUGCCUGCCAGAACCCCUAAAUUCAAAGGUUGACCUCGGAUCAGAUAGGGAUACCCGCUGAACUUAA
Molecule: ribosomal RNA, 308 nt
Filed under: uncultured fungus
Lineage: Eukaryota; Fungi
Description: eukaryotic LSU rRNA
Rfam family: 5.8S ribosomal RNA (bases 1-122)
Source: RNAcentral